RNAcentral lists this ribosomal RNA (301 nucleotides) under uncultured bacterium. RNAcentral's name for it is "partial 16S ribosomal RNA". It matches the Rfam family "Bacterial small subunit ribosomal RNA", at positions 509 to 808 of the family's 1533-position model. The record is from RNAcentral.
CAGUCGCCACGGUAAUACGUAGGUGGCAAGCGUUGUCCGGAAUUAUUGGGCGUAAAGCGCGCGCAGGCGGAUCAGUUAGUCUGUCUUAAAAGUUCGGGGCUUAACCCCGUGAGGGGAUGGAAACUGCUGAUCUAGAGUAUCGGAGAGGAAAGUGGAAUUCCUAGUGUAGCGGUGAAAUGCGUAGAUAUUAGGAAGAACACCAGUGGCGAAGGCGACUUUCUGGACGAAAACUGACGCUGAGGCGCGAAAGCCAGGGGAGCGAACGGGAUUAGAUACCCCGGUAGUCCCUGUCUCUUAUACC